AGUGGUGUACAGGUGAGUAUUUGAUUAUCAACCUACCUUAAAGCAAGGGGAAAUCCCUUAUAUUAACAAAGGUUAUUCCGCUUUAAGAUGAUUAGAUAAAUCAUAGAGAUAGGUAGUUGUUAAGGUAAUGGCUUAACUAGCCCAAAAUUCUCUUAGUCGAAACUGAAAUGGUUGAUCGACCACAUUGGGGCUGAAAAAAACCCAAUACAAGUGAGUACAGCAGUGGGGAAUAUUGGUCAAUGGCCUAACGGCUGAACUGGCAACUUGGAGGAAUGGCCUAUCUUACUAAGUAAUAGUAAGAAUUAGAGUGAAAUGAUGGUUAAAUCGAUUAUCGAAUAAAAUUCUAAAUAUAUAAAUUAUAAUGACUAUAUAUAUUUAUGUCUUGACUAAUUACGUGCCAGCAGUCGCGGUAAUACGUAAGAGACUAGUGUUACUCAUUUUUAAUAGGUUUAAAGGGUACCCAGACGGAAGAAAUUUGCCUGGAAAGGAACAAUUUCUAUCUAGAGUUUAAUAUAAGAAGGUCGUACUUGUGGAAUAGAGAUGAAAUACUUUUAUACCUAAUAAGGGACUGGUAAAGGCGAAAGCAACCUUUUAUGUAAAAACUGACGUUGAAGGACGAAGGCUUAGAACACGAAUAGGAUUAGAUACCCUAGUAGUCUUAGCAGAAAAUGAUGAAUGUCAUAGGUUAGGUUAUACUUAGUCUAUAAAUGAAAAUGUAAGCAUUUCACCUCAAGAGUAACGUGGCAACACGGAAACUGAAAUCACUAGACCGUUUCUGACAUCAGUAGUGAAGUAUGUUAUUUAAUUCGAUGAUCCACGAAAAACCUUACCACAAUUAGAAUUGUAUUUAUAAUAUUUAUAUUAUAAAUAUAACGAGUGUUGCACGGCUGUUUCCAGUUAAUGUUGUGAAACUAUGGCUUCGGCCAUGUAAUUAACGAAAACCCUUGCUUUAUUUAUAUAUUUUUUUUUAUAAAGCUGCUUUUAUCACCAUACCGAUAAAAUAGUAGGGCCAAAGACAAGUCAUCAUGGCCUUUAUAUUGUGGGCUAUAGACGUGCCACAUAUUCCUAGACAAAGAGAUGCGAAAAUGCGAAUUUAAGCUAAUCUCAAAAAAUAGGAUAAAAUAGGAUAAGGAUUGUAGUCUGAAACUCGACUACAUGAAUAAGUAAUUACUAGUAAUCGUGAAUCACCAUGUCACGGUGAAUAAUAUCUCGGAUUGGUACUAACCACUCG
This 1231-nucleotide ribosomal RNA is filed under the name Leptographium truncatum. Its description in RNAcentral is "SSU rRNA". It matches the Rfam family "Bacterial small subunit ribosomal RNA", at positions 94 to 1396 of the family's 1533-position model. Lineage: Eukaryota; Fungi; Ascomycota; Sordariomycetes; Ophiostomatales; Ophiostomataceae. The record is from RNAcentral.